GGGCGGUUAGCUCAGCGGUAGAGCACCGGAUUGCAAAUCCGAUGGUCACGUGUUCGAUCCACGUACCACCCU
Molecule: transfer RNA, 72 nt
Filed under: Naegleria gruberi
Lineage: Eukaryota; Heterolobosea; Eutetramitea; Acrasida; Naegleriidae
Description: tRNA-Cys (GCA) (tRNA-Cys-GCA-3 1 to 6)
Rfam family: tRNA
About the family: Transfer RNA (tRNA) molecules are approximately 80 nucleotides in length. Their secondary structure includes four short double-helical elements and three loops (D, anti-codon, and T loops). Further hydrogen bonds mediate the characteristic L-shaped molecular structure. tRNAs have two regions of fundamental functional importance: the anti-codon, which is responsible for specific mRNA codon recognition, and the 3' end, to which the tRNAs corresponding amino acid is attached (by aminoacyl-tRNA synthetases). tRNAs cope with the degeneracy of the genetic code in two manners: having more than one tRNA (with a specific anti-codon) for a particular amino acid; and 'wobble' base-pairing, i.e. permitting non-standard base-pairing at the 3rd anti-codon position.
Source: RNAcentral